GUCGUUGGUAGGCCAACUGAUUUUUUGGACUUUUAAUCUGUAGGUCCUGGGUUCGAGUCCCAGCGCGCUCACCA
This 74-nucleotide transfer RNA is filed under the name Methylobacterium sp. BE186. RNAcentral describes it as "tRNA-Ser". The record is from RNAcentral. Lineage: Bacteria; Pseudomonadati; Pseudomonadota; Alphaproteobacteria; Hyphomicrobiales; Methylobacteriaceae.